UCAUCCAAUGAAUUAACAAAAUGAUGACAUAUAUUUUUAAAAAUUAAAAAUUUGAGGCAUCUAUCAUUGGUGGUUAAUUCAUAAACUGCUUCCGACCGUAGGAUCAUCAUGAGAACGGUGCUCGAUCCAGAUAGAUUGAUGUACAGAUUGCUUCUUUAUGGAUAGACAAGUCUCGAAUCUACAGUGUGAGGAUACUAAGCGAGAGUGCAGAUGCUUGUUAGGGAAUAAGGAUGCUG
Molecule: long non-coding RNA, 236 nt
Filed under: Elaeis guineensis (African oil palm)
Lineage: Eukaryota; Viridiplantae; Streptophyta; Magnoliopsida; Arecales; Arecaceae
Description: long non-coding RNA (EGUI_LNC024044)
Source: RNAcentral